Molecule: ribosomal RNA, 519 nt
Filed under: uncultured eukaryote
Lineage: Eukaryota
Description: SSU rRNA
Rfam family: Eukaryotic small subunit ribosomal RNA
Source: RNAcentral
AGGGCACCACCAGGAGUGGAGCCUGCGGCUUAAUUUGACUCAACACGGGGAAACUCACCCGGCCCGGACACCGUAAGGAUUGACAGAUUGAUAGCUUUUUCAUGAUUCGGUGGAUGGUGGUGCAUGGCCGUUCUUAGUUCGUGGAGCGAUUUGUCUGGUUUAUUCCGAUAACGAGCGAGACUCUAGCCCACUAAAUAGUUCGCACAUUGUCUCUGUGUGUGUGACUUCUUAGAGGGAUUUUCGGUGUUCAGCCGCACGAAAUUGAGCAAUAACAGGUCUGUGAUGCCCUUAGAUGUCCGGGGCUGCACGCGCGCUACACUGGCAAAAUCAGCGUGCUUGUCCUUCCCCGAAAGGGGUUGGUAAACCCUUGAAAAUUUGCCGUGAUUGGGAUUGGAAAUUGCAAUUAUUUUCCAUGAACGAGGAAUUCCAAGUAAGUGCGAGUCAUCAGCUCGCGUUGAUUACGUCCCUGCCCUUUGUACACACCGCCCGUCGCUGCCCGGGACUGAGCCAUUUCGAGAA